GAUCAAUUCGUGAAACGGUACAGCCGUGUAACGAAUGGUUAUAACCACAGUUUUUAUUCGGGAAACCCGAUGAAAGGUGAGCA
Molecule: regulatory RNA element, 83 nt
Rfam family: SucA RNA motif
Source: Rfam